GAGGCAGCAGUGGGGAAUAUUGCACAAUGGGCGCAAGCCUGAUGCAGCCAUGCCGCGUGUGUGAAGAAGGCCUUCGGGUUGUAAAGCACUUUCAGUAAGGAGGAAAGGUUAAGUGUUAAUAGCACUUAGCUGUGACGUUACUUACAGAAGAAGCACCGGCUAACUCCGUGCCAGCAGCCGCGGUAAUACGGAGGGUGCGAGCGUUAAUCGGAAUUACUGGGCGUAAAGCGUACGCAGGCGGUUUGUUAAGCGAGAUGUGAAAGCCCCGGGCUCAACCUGGGAACUGCAUUUCGAACUGGCAAACUAGAGUGUGAUAGAGGGUGGUAGAAUUUCAGGUGUAGCGGUGAAAUGCGUAGAGAUCUGAAGGAAUACCGAUGGCGAAGGCAGCCACCUGGGUCAACACUGACGCUCAUGUACGAAAGCGUGGGGAGCAAACAGGAUUAGAUACCCUGGUAGUCCACGCCGUAAACGAUGUCUACUAGAAGCUCGACUCUUCGGAGUUGUUUUUCAAAGCUAACGCAUUAAGUAGACCGCCUGGGGAGUACGGCCGCAAGGUUAAAACUCAAAUGAAUUGACGGGGGCCCGCACAAGCGGUGGAGCAUGUGGUUUAAUUCGAUGCAACGCGAAGAACCUUACCUACACUUGACAUACAGCGAACUACUAGAGA
This 667-nucleotide ribosomal RNA is filed under the name Pseudoalteromonas sp. RNAcentral's name for it is "bacterial SSU rRNA". It matches the Rfam family "Bacterial small subunit ribosomal RNA", at positions 345 to 1006 of the family's 1533-position model. The record is from RNAcentral. Lineage: Bacteria; Pseudomonadati; Pseudomonadota; Gammaproteobacteria; Alteromonadales; Pseudoalteromonadaceae.